This 2516-nucleotide long non-coding RNA is filed under the name Carica papaya (papaya). RNAcentral's name for it is "long non-coding RNA (CPAP_LNC012588)". The record is from RNAcentral. Lineage: Eukaryota; Viridiplantae; Streptophyta; Magnoliopsida; Brassicales; Caricaceae.
UCUUCGUGGGAUUACCAGGAUCUCCGCAAGCUGCAGGAAGUGGGUAUGCUAACUCCACCCAGAUUUGCAAAGAAAUUCUUCCUGAGAUAAAGAAAUCAGCAAAGUAUGGCGGCGUAAUGAUUUGGUUACAAAAUCAGUCCCGAGAUCAUUAACUGCAUGAAGGAAUCAAGCCUGAUCAAAUCUGUCGCUGAGUAUUAAUGCACCACCUGAGUAAUAAUGUGAAAUAAAAUUAAGCAUCAUCAGAUUAAUUAUCACGAUCAUAUGAAGUUUGUAGUGAUCUCAUGGGGAAAUUUACUAUCAUAAGACCCCUCCAUGUAUUACUUACAUAUAAUAUAUUAGUACUUUGAUUCCCAUGUCCCAUAUACUUACUUACGUACAUUAUACUAUCUAUAUAUAUAUAUAUAUAUUUGAAAACUCUCAUUUUAGAUAUGAUUUAACAUUGCUAAUAAGAAUAAAGACUUACAUAUUUUUUGGUAUCUACACUUUUUGCUUUAUUUAAUUUUGUUUUUUAUACAAUUUUUUUUUCUUCGUUUGGUCCUUGUACUUUUAAAAACUAUUCGUAUUUACCCAUAUUUAUUAGUUUUUGUUAUCUCCGUUAAUUUAUUUAUUAUGUAUCAUCAGAAUUAACAUACGAUAUAAUUUAUUUAUUAUAUAUUUGUCAUUAUACAGGAAUAUAUAUAUAUAUCUUGGCAUCUAAAAAUUUCUGAAUAAUUUCUGAGUAUUUGAUCCUAUGUAUAAUAAUUUAUUUUAAUCAACUCUGACUAUCUAUAUUUUAACAGUAAUAUAAGAUCAUAAUUGAUAUUUAAUUUGGAAACAAAAUUGAGGAUUAUGAAAUCUAAUAGUUUGGUGUCUAAAACAAAAAUGACUAAAGUAAUCUUAGCAUAAACGUAAAUACUCAUCGUAUCGGUAGCUGAAUGAUAAUCUUUUCGACUAUUGGUUGGAUUAUUCGGACGAAGAAAAUGAAACCCUCUUCAAAAGUGAUAAGAACGAUAACAUCUCUUACAACUCUUUCGUUAUUGGUACUACUUCAAAGUACUAGAAAAUUUAAAAAUUUUAUCGUAAUUUGAUAGAGCAAAUUACUCCCACGAGAUAUUUUUUAGUGGGUCGAAAGAAUCUCUUUCUAAAUAGUUUAAGUUUGAUACACAUACUCCGAACGUGGUGACUCGGGCAUGAGUAUAAUUUUAAUUUCUUAAUUUUUUUUUGCUAUUUUUCACAGAAAAAUAAGAAACUAAAGAUGAGGGGCUGGUGCAAAUGUAGGUAGGAGAAUUAAGAAAGUGAAGAUCAACAAGGAUCAAUUGGGUUCGCGCCACGUGUCAAAAUAAUAAAUGGAUUGGAACUGUUUCAUGGAUUUACGUUAACUAUUAGAAUAUUUUUUUUGUUUUGAAAGUUUGUAAUUCAUAUAUGUUUGCUUACAAAAUUUUAUAUUAUUAUUUAGAAAAUUAUACAUCAAAUACUGGCAGGACAUGAACAGAGUACGUGGUUUGAACAUAUGAUUCACAUCUAUAAAUAGCUAGCGGAGAAGUUGAUGAAAACCCAACAAACAAAACCAAAACAAAAUGGCAAUUAACAUUAAACCUACAGCCACUCUUCUUCUUCUUCUUCCUCUCCUAGCAUUAUUCCAAACCUGCCAUGGCGAAUCACCUGGCAUAGCCGUCUACUGGGGUCAAGACGGUCGCGAAGGAACCCUAGCACAGGCUUGUAAUAGCGGCCUCUAUUCCUAUAUCAUCAUAGCUUUCAUUUUCGAGUACGGUGGCCACCAACCCCCUUCCGUCAACCUUGCCGGUCACUGCACUCCGUCCAUCAACAAUUGCAAGUUCAUCGGCCCAGAGAUCACCACUUGCCAAAACCUAGGAAUCAAGGUCUUAAUCUCCAUUGGUGGAGCAAGUGGUCAGCGCCAUUCCCUCACCGAUGUUGGUGAUGCGAAAUAUCUCGCCGAUUAUAUUUACAAUAAUUUCUUGGGUGGAUCCGCUCCCGACCGUCUGUUCGGAGAUGCUAUAAUAGAUGGCGUUGAUUUCGACAUGGAGUCGCCAAGUUCAUAUCUUGACGAUCUUGCUAGGUACCUGCAUGAAUAUAGUACACCGCAACGAAAGGUGUAUCUAUCGGCGGCUCCACAGUGUCCCUUCCCUGAUGCAAACAUUGGAGCUGCACUUAACACAGGACUGUUCGACUAUGUUUGGAUUCAGUUUUACAACAAUCCUCCAUGUCAAUAUAAUGGGAAUAGUAAAAAUCUUAUUGCAUCAUGGAAUGUAUGGACGUCGAAUAUAAAUGCACGAUAUUUCUUCGUGGGAUUACCAGGAUCUCCUCAAGCUGCAGGAAGUGGGUUUGCUACCCCCACCCAGAUUUGCAACGAAAUUCUUCCUGAAAUAAAGAAAUCACCAAAGUAUGGCGGCGUAAUGAUUUGGUCAAGGUAUUGGGACAAAAUCAGUCCAGAUAUUAUUAACUGCGUGAAGGGAUCAAGCCUGAUCAAAUCUGUCGCUGAGUAUUAAUCCACCACCUGAGUAAUAUUGUUAAAUAAA